Molecule: ribosomal RNA, 390 nt
Filed under: Calcigorgia sp.
Lineage: Eukaryota; Metazoa; Cnidaria; Anthozoa; Malacalcyonacea; Acanthogorgiidae
Description: partial small subunit ribosomal RNA
Rfam family: Eukaryotic small subunit ribosomal RNA
Source: RNAcentral
AUUCCAGCUCCAAUAGCGUAUUGUAAAGUUGUUGCAGUUAAAAAGCUCGUAGUUGGAUUUCGGGCUCGACGGCGACGGUCAGCCGCAAGGUAUGUCACUGUCGGCGUUGGCCUUCUUCGCGCAGACUUCCCGUGCUCUUAACUGAGUGUGCGUUGGAUACGCGACGUUUACUUUGAAAAAAUUAGAGUGUUCAAAGCAGGCUUGUGCUUGGAUACAUAAGCAUGGAAUAAUGGAAUAGGACUUUGGUUCUAUUUUCCGUUGGUUUCUGGAACCGAAGUAAUGAUUAAUAGGGACAGUUGGGGGCAUUCGUAUUUCGUUGUCAGAGGUGAAAUUCUUGGAUUUACGAAAGACGAACUAAUGCGAAAGCAUUUGCCAAGAAUGUUUUCAUCA